Molecule: ribosomal RNA, 387 nt
Filed under: uncultured bacterium
Lineage: Bacteria
Description: bacterial SSU rRNA
Rfam family: Bacterial small subunit ribosomal RNA
Source: RNAcentral
AACGAACGCUGGCGGCGUGCCUAACACAUGCAAGUCGAGCGAGAAAGUUCCUUCGGGAACGAGUACAGCGGCGCACGGGUGAGUAACACGUAGGUAACCUACCCUCGAGCCCGGAAUAACCCGCCGAAAGGUGGGCUAAUGCCAGAUAGGACCACGGUGGUCACGGCCACCGCGGUGAAAGAUGGCCUCUGUUCACAAGCUAUUACUCGAGGAUGGGCCUGCGCGCCAUUAGCAGUUGGUGAGGUAACGGCUCACCAAGGCGAUGAUGGCUAGCUGGUCUGAGAGGAUGGCCAGCCACACUGGGACUGACACACGGCCCAGACUCCUACGGGAGCAGCAGUGGGGGAUAUUGCGCAAUGGGACGAAAGCCUGACGCAGCGACGCCGC